This is a non-coding RNA of Pteropus alecto (black flying fox), 119 nucleotides long. Lineage: Eukaryota; Metazoa; Chordata; Mammalia; Chiroptera; Pteropodidae. The record is from Rfam.
GUCUACGGCCAUGCCACCCUGAACACGCCCGAUCUCGUCUGAUCUCGGAAGCUAAGCAGGGUUGGGCCUGGUUAGUUCUUGGAUGGGAGACCACUUAUGAAUACCAGAUGCUGUAGGCA